Calidris pugnax (ruff) is the source of this 498-nucleotide long non-coding RNA. RefSeq lists it as uncharacterized. The transcript has 6 exons. The record is from RefSeq and is a predicted model, not a curated record. NCBI's taxonomy places the organism in Eukaryota, Metazoa, Chordata, Aves, Charadriiformes, Scolopacidae.
CUGCUGAUCAACGUCUGGGUGACUUGUUUACUAUUGUUUUUUCAGAUGCAGAGGGACAAGAUACACACCAAAGAGCAAUGGAGAAAGCGAGCAGGGCACGGUUAGAUGACAUGAAGUGAUGAGUGAAGCAGGCUAUUGGCACCGGAGGUGACCCAGUCAAGAGGGUGUGCAAGCCUCAAAGCGACAGCCAAAAAUCACGGAGGGCAGUCGGGCGAGCAGCCAAGAUACCUCACACAGGCUCAGAGAAGCGAAGCCUCAUGCCUGUGGACGGGCCGAGAAGGUGCCAGAAGUGACAAUGGUGACAGCGUCUGACUCUGGAAGGAUCAGGUGAGCGGAACGCCAUCACCGUUUUGAGGAGGAUGGUGAAGAGGAACCUGAUGACUGUAGUAACGUCCCAGAUAGCUGAUGUGUUGGUUUUUUUGUCAACAGGAGAGUAAAGCCCCCCUGGCUUUCUGCAAGCUAAGUUGAGGGACCCAGGCUGGGGAGGGGCUGAGAGGU